CUAUGGCUUGAAAGAGAGUCAUGGCAAAGGAG
Molecule: non-coding RNA, 32 nt
Submitted as: unclassified sequences
Source: Rfam